CGUAUUGUACGACUCUACGAAACUCGCACGAAUCGAGACGAGCUGCUCCGAAAUCGGACGAAUACAUAAGCAGCUGUUUAUGAGAAAGUAUAUAGGUAAAUAGGUAUUUAUGUACAACAGUGAAUAGCUGUGCUUGUAAAAUUUGUGUAUAAAGUGUUUUGAAUAUGAAUGAACAAAGUGCAUUUAUUAUUAAUGAAGGAAAUCACGAAAAAAUAGUGAAAGAAAAUGAAGAAGAAAAGCGUAAAGAGCUAAAAAGAACAAAAAACUAAUGCACGUCAAAGGGCAUACUAUCAGCGUCAGAAAGAUUUGAAGAAAAAUGAAGAAAUAAUAAAAACAGUACCAAAAUCAAAUGCUGAACGUCAAAGGAAAUUUCGUCAACAUAAUGCAGAAAAAUCUUACAUGGAUAUGUAAUUUGAUUUAAUAAUAAUAUUUAUAAUGAUCCACAAGAGUCCACAACAAAAUAUGGGACUAUUAUUGACGCGGUAUUUUCUAGGUAUUUAGAGGAUAUUAAGUCGCAAACUUAUGUUUCUUAUUUCAGUUAUCAUAAACCUAUAGUUUCAAUGAUAAAUAUUCCUGAAUAACCAACAGCUACUGUAAGAUAAUAAAACCCACAUGUACUGUAAAAUAAUAAAAAUAUUUUAAACAAUA
This is a long non-coding RNA of Microplitis demolitor, 648 nucleotides long. RefSeq lists it as uncharacterized. The record is from RefSeq and is a predicted model, not a curated record. NCBI's taxonomy places the organism in Eukaryota, Metazoa, Arthropoda, Insecta, Hymenoptera, Braconidae. The transcript is spliced from 2 exons.